CAGAGGGUGCAAACGUUGCUCGGAAUCACUGGGCGUAAAGGGCGUGUAGGCGGGAAGGUAAGUCGGGCGUGAAAUCCCUGGGCUCAACCCAGGAACUGCACUCGAAACUACUUUUCUUGAGUGCCGGAGAGGAAAGCGGAAUUCCUGGUGUAGAGGUGAAAUUCGUAGAUAUCAGGAGGAACACCAGUGGCGAAGGCGGCUUUCUGGACGGUAACUGACGCUGAGACGCGAAAGCGUGGAGAGCAAACAGGAUUAGAUACCCUGGUAGUCCACGCCGUAAACGAUGAGCGCUAGGUGUCGUGGGUAUUGACCCCCACAAUACCGAAGCUAACGCAUUAAGCGCUCCGCCUGGGAAGUACGGUCGCAAGACUA
This 372-nucleotide ribosomal RNA is filed under the name uncultured organism. RNAcentral's name for it is "bacterial SSU rRNA". It matches the Rfam family "Bacterial small subunit ribosomal RNA", at positions 526 to 896 of the family's 1533-position model. The record is from RNAcentral.